RNAcentral lists this ribosomal RNA (113 nucleotides) under Callithrix jacchus (white-tufted-ear marmoset). Lineage: Eukaryota; Metazoa; Chordata; Mammalia; Primates; Cebidae. The record is from RNAcentral.
AUCUGCAGCCAUAUCACCCUGAACGCGCCCGAUCUCUUUGGAUCUUAGAAGCAAAGCAGGGUUGGGCCUGGUUAGUACUUGGAUGGGGGAAGAAAUUGAAGUAGGGGAAGAGA